This 249-nucleotide long non-coding RNA is filed under the name Ananas comosus (pineapple). Its description in RNAcentral is "long non-coding RNA (ACOM_LNC035994)". The record is from RNAcentral. Lineage: Eukaryota; Viridiplantae; Streptophyta; Magnoliopsida; Poales; Bromeliaceae.
AAUAAGUUAUAAACCUUUGAAAUAUCUUCUUUUUUUUUUGGAGAGAGAGAUAGUGUAACGCACUGGACCUUUGCAAAUUGCAAGGUUCGAGUGUUUGGACGAUGCUCUGAGUUUCUCCAGACUUUUUGAUGGGUCGUUGACAAUGUUCCGACCUAUGGUUCGAAUUCCGAGAAUUGUAGUAUUUUAUGUAGUGCUAAGCUCACCAAAGUGAUAGACUUAGGCUACCCUCAGAUUGCAUUCUGCACGAGG